AGAGUUUGAUCCUGGCUCAGGGCGAACGCUAGCGGCGCGCCUAACACAUGCAAGUCGUGCGGGAAGGGGCUUCGGCCCUAGUACCGCGGCAGACGGGUGAGUAACACGUGAGCAACCUGUCCCCGGGUCUGGGAUAACCACCCGAAAGGGUGGCUAAUACCGGAUAAAGUCACCGGGCGCAAGCUCGGUGAUGAAAGGGGGCCUCUGCAUAGCAAGCUCCUGCCUGGGGAGGGGCUCGCGGCCCAUCAGCUAGUUGGUGGGGUAACGGCCCACCAAGGCUAUGACGGGUAGCCGGCCUGAGAGGGUGGUCGGCCACACGGGCACUGAGACACGGGCCCGACUCCUACGGGAGGCAGCAGUGGGGAAUCUUGGGCAAUGGGCGAAAGCCUGACCCAGCGACGCCGCGUGGGGGAAGAAGGCCUUCGGGUCGUAAACCCCUGUUCUGGGGGAAGAACCCUGAACGGGUUAAUAGCCCGUUCAGGCUGACGGUACCCCAGGAGAAAGCCACGGCUAACUGCGUGCCAGCAGCCGCGGUAAUACGCAGGUGGCGAGCGUUGCCCGGAAUCACUGGGCGUAAAGGGUGCGUAGGCGGCAGGGCAAGUCGCGGGUUAAAGCCCGGGGCUCAACCCCGGAAAGGCCUGCGAUACUGCCUUGCUUGAGGGCCGGAGAGGCUGGCGGAAUUCCCGGUGUAGGGGUGAAAUCCGUAGAUAUCGGGAGGAACACCGGUGGGGAAGCCGGCCAGCUGGACGGUUCCUGACGCUGAGGCACGAAAGCGUGGGGAGCAAACCGGAUUAGAUACCCGGGUAGUCCACGCCGUAAACGAUGGGUGCUAGGUCUGGGGAGGAAACUCUCUGGGCCGAAGCUAACGCGUUAAGCACCCCGCCUGGGGAGUACGGCCGCAAGGCUGAAACUCAAAGGAAUUGACGGGGGCCCGCACAAGCGGUGGAGCACGUGGUUUAAUUCGAUGCAAAGCGAAGAACCUUACCUGGGCUUGACAUGCCAGGGUUGUACCCCGGUGGAAACACUGGGGGAGCGUGGGUUUUUACUCACGCGCUCUGGCACAGGUGCUGCAUGGCUGUCGUCAGCUCGUGCCGUGAGUUUUUGGGUUAAGUCCCGCAACGAGCGCAACCC
Molecule: ribosomal RNA, 1131 nt
Filed under: uncultured bacterium
Lineage: Bacteria
Description: bacterial SSU rRNA
Rfam family: Bacterial small subunit ribosomal RNA
Source: RNAcentral